GGAGUUUGGACCGUGUCUCAGUUCCAAUGUGGCCGAUCACCCUCUCAGGUCGGCUACCGAUCGUUGCCUUGGUGGGCCGUUACCUCACCAACCAGCUAAUCGGACGCGAGCUCACCCCAAACCGAGUCUCCCCUUUACCCCAAGACGAUGCCAUCUCGUGGUCUUAUGCGGCAUUAGCACCUGUUUCCAAGUGUUAUCCCCCUCGUCUGGGACAGAUUGCUCACGCGUUACUCACCCGUCCGCCGCUAGAACAUGAUUCUUUCUGCCGAAGCUUAUUCCCUCAUGUCCCCGCUCGACUUGCAUGUGUUAAGCACGCCGCCAGCGUUCGUCCUCGAGCCACUGAUCAAACUACU
Molecule: ribosomal RNA, 353 nt
Filed under: uncultured Coriobacteriales bacterium
Lineage: Bacteria; Bacillati; Actinomycetota; Coriobacteriia; Coriobacteriales
Description: partial 16S ribosomal RNA
Source: RNAcentral